Molecule: long non-coding RNA, 298 nt
Organism: Etheostoma cragini (Arkansas darter)
Lineage: Eukaryota; Metazoa; Chordata; Actinopteri; Perciformes; Percidae
Exons: 3
Source: RefSeq, a predicted model, not a curated record
CUGAAUGCCAUCAAUUCAUUUGACGCUUUUCACACUAUGUCCUCUUGCAGCAUAUUUCAUAUACUGUAUUCAUUUCCUACUUCAUCAUGGCUGUAAAAGACAAUGUCAAAAUCUAGUGAACCUGCAUUGUUUAAGAUAGUGUGACAUUUAUUCUGCAACUUCUUCAAACUAAGAACCCGCUUUGUUGCAUUGGUAUUCCGAUUAUUUAUUGGUUGAUGAAUGAGUGCUAAACUGUUUUUACUCGUAUGUAAUAAUCCUUUUACUAGCUCUGGUAAUCCGUCAAUAAAGCUGGUCAUGA